UACGAAGGGGGCUAGCGUUGCUCGGAAUCACUGGGCGUAAAGGGUGCGUAGGCGGGCUUUUAAGUCAGAGGUGAAAUCCUGGAGCUCAACUCCAGAACUGCCUUUGAUACUGAGAAUCUUGAGUAUGGGAGAGGUGAGUGGAACUGCGAGUGUAGAGGUGAAAUUCGUAGAUAUUCGCAAGAACACCAGUGGCGAAGGCGGCUCACUGGCCCAUAACUGACGCUGAGGCACGAAAGCGUGGGGAGCAAACAGG
Molecule: ribosomal RNA, 253 nt
Filed under: uncultured bacterium
Lineage: Bacteria
Description: partial 16S ribosomal RNA
Rfam family: Bacterial small subunit ribosomal RNA
Source: RNAcentral